UAAUUUGGUUAUUUUAAAUAAUGCAUUCAUUUCCUUUUGGAAGGGUUACUUCCCCUCAGCUAUAGAGGGAAAACUGAGUCAUACUAAAGGAAAUAAAUCUAUUAAACUAUUGCAUCAGUUACUGAAUUUGAGCUUUUAUUCUCUUCUGGCUGACAACUCUUCCAUGCUUGUUUCCAUUCAUUAUAAGUUAGAGAGGCAAGUUAGAGCAGUGUUUCUCAGUCUUUAAAAAGAAAAAGAAAGAAAAGAAAAAAACAAAAAGAUUUGUUCCCUUUUCACAAAUAUAAAUAUUCUAUACUCUUCUUAUAUUACAUUUAAAUUUUCUAAAUUAAUGAACAUUUUGACUGAAAGAAAAAUUUCAAGAAUUUAGGGUAUUUCCCCCCAAAUUCCUCAUGUUUCCCUCUCCUAAGAUUCAAAUACAUUCCCUAAGUGUGAGACACCAUAUGUUGGAAGUGCAAGUCAUUUCUCCCCACCAGAGUCAUUGGUAUCUGUCCAUUUGGGGAUCCUUUGUCAGUCUUCUUGUUCUUUAAAGUCUUUUUCGCCCUAAAUGGUCAGACUAUGGUUCAUCUGUAUGUCCAGAAAUAGAGCAGUUUCCACUACUAUAGAUAGUCUCCUCAUUUUCCCCCUGUAAAACCAUGCCUUCCAGAAAAGAAGGACACAAAGAAGCCAGCUAGUUCACACAAAAGUGUGCAAAGAAGUCACUUCUCUGUUUUCAAAGAAAACAGCCCAUGAAAACACUAGUAACAGGUUAGAGAUGGUUGGCCAAAGGCUGAAGUCCAGCAAACUCUUGGGGGCAGGGCAUUUCCCAAAUCAUGGAACAUGGAAAGAAAGUGGUGGCUUGGUGCUAUGGUAGUCUCACUCAACUGGAGAAACAAAAAACCCAGGAUUUGAGGGGCCAAAUUCCCAGAAGAAAGGGAACCAAAGAAAAGUUGGAAGUUGAAGAAAAAAAAAACUUAAAAAGAAAAAGCUAAGGAAUGCCAAAUACUGGAUAUGUGGAGGAAUUCGAUAAAAUGGAGAGCCUUAAUGAGAAAUGUGCACACUUGUGACCUAAAGAAUGAGCUCAUGGAGCCAAAGGAAAAGGACAGACCUAACAGGGGAAUCUGUGAAUCAUAUCAGAAGGAAUCUUUGCAUGUUUUGGACUCAGAAUGUGGAGGAUAUCCUGGGUGAUACUGGUGUCCUAGGUGUCCCCUCAUGGAAGAACAGAGAUGGACCAUUGAAUCAAUUCCCUGUAGCUUCCCUCUGCUGCCUGUAAAGAAGGGAGGUCCACGUGGACUUGGAGUUGGGAACCUGCGAUCAGAUCUGUGUACAAAUCCUGGCCUGCCACCUUUGUGUGAUUUGAACUGUAACAACUAUUUUCUUAUCUAUAGUAAUAAUAUUUAUGUUUCAGAAGACUGUGAAGAAGAUUAAGCAGGAGAAUGGGAUUAUCUGAGAAAUAAUUCAUUUGCAUAGUAAAUGUUCAAUUAACAGGAGCUAUUGUUACUCUGAAAAUCAGAAACCCUGACCGAGGCAAGUGGGCCAGGUUUGCCUUCAGUAACUCUAACCUCUCUUCUUAAUUCUUCUAGAGAUUCUCUUUUCUCCAAACUCCAGUGCUUCUGGCUUUAAGAUGGCCUGCUUUUCUUCCACUCUUUCCCUCUUUCUUCUCUCUUUAUUUUUUUUCUUUCUUUCCUCUUUUUUCUCUUUCCACCCCUCCUUCCUCUAGACAGACAAGGAAGUAUCUGAUAUUUCCUUUACGUCCAGUCAAAUCUUUGUUCUCAUAUAUCCUGAAAAAUUGCAUUUUAAUCGGUCUUACUGUAGAAUGAAAGACUUUGCCUCAGAGAAUGCUGGAGUCAGGUCUGGGUUCCAAUCCCGGAUCUGGGACUUACUUUGUGACCUCAGGCAAGUCACUUAACAUCUGAGCUUCAUCAGUAAAAGGGGACAAUAAUACCUACUACAUAGUGGCACCGAGAGGAUUAAAUACAAUGCAUGAUAUCAUUCAUAGUGGUGAUGAUGACACAGAUUUCUGAAGGCUCCCACCAAGGGCAGGCCUGCUUUGGUAAGGGGUAAGAUGGGCAUGUAACUAAGACAGGAGGGAUAGUCGGGUACCUCAAUCAAAUUCUUCUCACUUCCUUUGCUCAACUUUAAUCUCCCUUUAUCUAUUUCUGCUUUUACAUCCAUUCAAUAAAAACUUAUUUGUGUCUAAUACUGCAGUUUAAGUUGGAGUACAGCAGUAAACAAAGCAUGCCAGAACUUGGAAACUGCUGUUUAUUCUCACUCACACCUACUCUGCUUCCAGACCUCCAUCUCCAGCCUGGAAUCUCUCCUACGUUGUUCUCUUGCCAAAAAUGUCCUCAGUCUCCUUGCUGUUUCAGCACCUUCCAGCACUGACAAUUAAUGGUAGGGGGUAUGGGUGAAGGCGGGGAAAAAUCAGGUAAAGUAGAAAUCUAUGGGACAGGAGUAUGUGGAGAAGAUCUAGAGGAUGUCAGCUUGUACAUGGCAGAGGGCACACCCACCAAGUAGUGAGACCCAGCACCUCAUCUUUACAAGUACAGCUCUGUGUAUGCAUUACUGCUUCUCAAGUGUGCCUAACUACCCUGUAGCCCAAUAACAGUGUUGUAGGAAAUGCCCCACAUUUUUCAUGGAACACUCACAAGUUCCUUAAAUAAAAAUCACGGAGUCGGGAAAUAAGACUACUGGAUCCUAGUCCUAAACCUGCAAUGCAGUCACUGUGUGAUCUUGGUCAAAUUGUGGGCCCCAGUUUGCUAUAUCAACUUUAAAUUAUAUGGUUACAGUUUUAACAUAUGACCACCAAUUCUUUGAAAUUCUGCUAAGAAAUGGAGAAUAAUUCUCCCCUUAAGUGAAUAGGGCUGGAUUUAGUGACUCACUUCUAAUGAAUAGAGUAUGAAAAGGGAAACAUAGUUUACAAUGGAGAAACCUGAAAAACAUCAUCUUAACAAGUAACCGAGGUCACCAUCACCAGUAAUAAGUCAUGCUGGUAUCACACGCUCCCUGAUAGGAAAUGACAAGAAAGGCAUAUCACCUUUUUGUGAUUCUUCCCCCAAAUCCACGAUCUCAGUCUGUUCCUAAGAAAGCAUCAGAAAAAUCCAGAAACAUUCUACAAAAUACCUGACUACUGCUCUUCAAAAGUGUCAAGGCCAUGAAACACAAGGGAAGACUGGAAUGUAAGAUCCUGGAACAGAAAUAGAAUUGAAAAUAGAGGAACAAGACAUGGAAGGUUCGCAAAGCAACGGAAGGCUUUAUUUAGUUGCAAGACAAAUAGAACUCUUUUCUAAGUGGAGAAAUCUGGUUCUGCUUUUGGAUGCUGUCUGAUUCUGAAUUGUGAACUCCCAAGAUGUCAAGUGUUAGAUGUCUUUGGAGUAGACAUAAUAAUACUCAUUUAGAUGGACCAAGGAAUGGCAGAGACAUCCUUUAAAAGCAGUAUGUUGAUAUUUGGUUCAUGUAAUGUAAUGUUUAUUUUUGAGUCAUGAAGAGAAAGUCUGAGGUUUAAUGACAUUCCUUGUUGGAAAUUAGCAGCUAAGAUUUGUAAAAAUGAUUGUUUAUAGGCUACAAAAAGGACUGACCAAAGGCAAUUUAAACUCUAAAAAUCAAGUCUUUGACUGAUAUUUGUUCCUUAAAAAAAAAAAAGAAAAAUAAAAACAGAUCACAUUGCUUACUGUAUCCACCCAAAGGUAUAGAUUUUAAUGACUAGGAAAGCUUCUGUGAACUCUAACUCAAUAUCGAAUGGUUUUGUCCACCAUUUGCAUUAAAGAGGAAACAAACACUCAAGAUACCCAGUGAUGUCAAUGGAUCACCAAAAAUCACCCCUACCAGAAGAGCUUCUCUGAAUUUAAGGUUCAGAUGUGCCAAAAUAUAACACUGAACUUGGAUAAUUUCACAGAUAUGUA
Long non-coding RNA from Canis lupus familiaris (dog), 3878 nucleotides. RefSeq lists it as uncharacterized. NCBI's taxonomy places the organism in Eukaryota, Metazoa, Chordata, Mammalia, Carnivora, Canidae. The record is from RefSeq and is a predicted model, not a curated record. The transcript is spliced from 6 exons.